This 277-nucleotide long non-coding RNA is filed under the name Nicotiana benthamiana. RNAcentral's name for it is "long non-coding RNA (NBEN_LNC001570)". The record is from RNAcentral. Lineage: Eukaryota; Viridiplantae; Streptophyta; Magnoliopsida; Solanales; Solanaceae.
UUUUCUAUAUAUUGUUCUUGUUCUUGUAUUAUUGUUCUUGUUCUUAUAUUAUUUCAUAACAGUAUUUGAAUAUAAAAUUUAAACUACAUGGAGUAGUAGAAAAUAACAAUGAGUAAGAGAACCGGAACUAUAAACUAGGUCUAGAAAGCACUGAGCAAAGUCUUUCAGUCUUUCUUUGACAAAACCCCUAAAGCGCGCACCACGCGCACACACGCACACAAACGCCAUAUUCAUGAAAGUUCAUGUAUUGUGAUUGCACAUAACAAACACUAGCCUC